CCUACGGGGGGCUGCAGUAAGGAAUAUUGGACAAUGGCGGAGACGCUGAUCCAGCUAUCCCGCGUGCAGGAUGACGGCCCUACGGGUUGUAAACUGCUUUAGACUGGAGCGAAAAAGUGGGAUUUAUCCUACAUUGACGGUACCAGUAAAAUAAGCACCGGCUAACUCCGUGCCAGCAGCCGCGGUAAUACGGAGGGUGCAGGAAUUAUCCGGAAUCACUGGUUAGAAGGCGUCUGUAUACGUCAGGAGUGAAAGGCCAUGGCUCAACUAUGGGAUUGCUUUUGAUACUGACGAGCUUGGAUUAGGACGAGGUUGGCGGAAUGUGGCAAGUAGCGGUGAAAUGCAUAGAUAUGCCAUAGAAUACCGAUUGCGAAGGCAGCUGACUAGACCUAUAUUGACGCUGAGGCACGAAAGCGUGGGGAGCGAACAGGAUUAGAUACCCGUGUAGUC
RNAcentral lists this ribosomal RNA (450 nucleotides) under uncultured bacterium. RNAcentral's name for it is "partial 16S ribosomal RNA". It matches the Rfam family "Bacterial small subunit ribosomal RNA", at positions 338 to 795 of the family's 1533-position model. The record is from RNAcentral.